GAUCCUGGCUCAGGAUGAACGCUGGCGGCGUGCUUAACACAUGCAAGUCGAACGAAGCACUUUACUACGAUUCCUUCGGGAUGACGGUUUAGUGACUGAGUGGCGGACGGGUGAGUAACGCGUGGGGAACCUGCCCCAUACCGGGGGAUAACAGCCGGAAACGGCUGCUAAUACCGCAUAAGCGCACAGUACCGCAUGGUACGGUGUGAAAAACUCCGGUGGUAUGGGAUGGACCCGCGUCUGAUUAGCCAG
This 252-nucleotide ribosomal RNA is filed under the name uncultured bacterium. RNAcentral's name for it is "partial 16S ribosomal RNA". It matches the Rfam family "Bacterial small subunit ribosomal RNA", at positions 15 to 248 of the family's 1533-position model. The record is from RNAcentral.